CCUACUGAAUCUGUUAUCAUCUCCUCAACGAUGCGGUUAUUGGUGCUGUUGUGCGUGUGCCUGCCGGUGCUUGCAGCGAGCAUGCCUGCGGCGGAGCCGGGAUUCUUCACAACUACCUUGGGCUUCUUCCUCGGGAAAGUAUUGAUAAAGGCCGGAAAGUCUCGCAAAAGAUAGUUCUCAAUAAAGAGAGAAUCAAA
Molecule: long non-coding RNA, 197 nt
Filed under: Penaeus japonicus
Lineage: Eukaryota; Metazoa; Arthropoda; Malacostraca; Decapoda; Penaeidae
Description: uncharacterized LOC122266617
Source: RNAcentral